Long non-coding RNA from Bos taurus (domestic cattle), 1190 nucleotides. NCBI's taxonomy places the organism in Eukaryota, Metazoa, Chordata, Mammalia, Artiodactyla, Bovidae. The record is from Ensembl.
GGGCAGCACACCCUCUGUGGAUUGACUCAUUUCAUUGCGGAGAGUUCUGUUGUUACAAAGUAGAUGGAAAGCUGAGCAAAGCCGAGAGGAUCUCCUGGGGGCCCGUCUGUGCAAAAAAAAAAAGAAAACAAACCUGUGAUGCUUGAGAUGCUGCAAGACUUGGCAUUUGAAGUAGUUCUCCUGGAAGAUUUAUUACUGGAUAAGUCACAAAUUUUGAAUGAGAAAUGGAAUCAAGUCGAGGGUUGAGCAAGCAGACAACAAGCACAAACCAGAGAAAACAGUGCUUUCUUCUCCAACUCGUAGGUUUGUUCUAAGGGACGAGUUAAGAGGUUUAUAACCAUUUUUUAAGACUGAAGUAUAGUUAAUUUACCAUGUGUGAGUUUCUGCUCUACAGCACAGUGAUUCAUUUGUACAUGUUGUUGUUCAGUCACUAAGUCCUGUCUGACUCUUUGCAACCCCAUGGACUGCAGCACACCAGGCUUCCCUGGCCCUCACCGUCUCCAGGUGUCUGCCCAAGUUCAUGUCCACUGAAUAGAUGAUGCCACAUUAGAAGAAAAAAGAAAAAGAUCCUGCAGGAUGCAAUGAAGUUCCGCUGUGCUGCAACUAAGACCCAACACAGCCACAUAAACAACAACAAAAACAAACCCCCAAAAAGCCCUUAUAAAAAAAAUCCAGAUUCGCAGGCACUCCCUGUAGAGUCUGCUCAGGAGACAGGACUAUAGAAGGUCCAGGAGACUCUGGCGCACAGCCAGGCACGGGGCCCUCUGGGUCUACCCUGGGUUUGAAGGCACUGCGCUUCAGUAAAUAGCGACAACAGUGUUAGUCCUCUUCUCAGCCCACUUGUGAGCCCCAGAGGCAAAGCCAGGGUUGGGAGAGCUGGUCUGAGCUCCUGCACACAUCCUUCCUCUGGGCCUUUGCCUGCAGCAGCCCUGGAAAUGGCUGACUGCUGAUUCAAACAUCAGGUUUCUCUCCUCUUCUCACUUCCCCAUGGGGUCAAGGUUGAGAAACACUGUGCUCCAUCCUGUGAGUCCCAUUGGCUGAGUCAGGUCUCCAUCUUCCUUCAGAAUGAUCCAGUAUAGGACAGUGUUAGUAGCUCAGUCAUGUCUGACUCUUUGCAACCCCAAGAACUCUAGUAUCCAUGGAAUUCUCCAGGCAAGAAUACUGAAGUGGGUUGCCAUUUCCUUUUCUAG